UCAUCACUGAUCAAGCAUUGUAACCAGCGUUCACAAGAAUGUUGAGAUGGAGCAUGUUCACCAUCAGCUUCCCAAAGUAUACAAUAACUUUUUCUUCAAAAUAAAGUAAUGAAUUAAAACUUC
Molecule: long non-coding RNA, 123 nt
Organism: Pipistrellus kuhlii (Kuhl's pipistrelle)
Lineage: Eukaryota; Metazoa; Chordata; Mammalia; Chiroptera; Vespertilionidae
Exons: 3
Source: RefSeq, a predicted model, not a curated record